Molecule: unclassified non-coding RNA, 337 nt
Filed under: soil metagenome
Description: partial contains 5.8S ribosomal RNA, internal transcribed spacer 2, and large subunit ribosomal RNA
Rfam family: 5.8S ribosomal RNA (bases 1-120)
Source: RNAcentral
GAUGAAGAACGUAGCGAAAUGCGAUAAGUAAUGUGAAUUGCGGAAUUCAGUGAAUCAUCGAAUCUUUGAACGCACAUUGCGCCCGCCAGUAUUCUGGUGGGCAUGCCUGUUCGAGCGUCAUUUCAACCAUCAAGCCCCCCGGCUUGUGUUGGGGACCUGCGGCUGCCGCAGGCCCUGAAAAGCAGUGGCGGGCUCGCUGUCACACCGAGCGUAGUAGCAUACAUCUCGCUCUGGGCGUGCUGCGGGUUCCGGCCGUUAAACCACCUUCAUAACCCAAGGUUGACCUCGGAUCAGGUAGGAAGACCCGCUGAACUUAAGCAUAUCAAUAAGCGGAGGA